CAACCUGAUUAUAAAAAUAGAUUACGAAGAUUGAAGAGUUACAAAAAUAUUGUGGAGGUUAUUAGCCGUGACAUAAGGCGUAGUUGUAUGGCUGAAGACAUAAAAAAGAAAAUUAAUGGCCUCCGCACAAGUUACUCCUACGAGAAAGCGAAAAUGCAUAAAAGCAAAAGUGGAGCCAGUGUACAGGCGACAUAUACUCCGCAAGUGUACUGGUUCCACAUGCUGAAGUUUCUGGACCAGGCGACAGAGGCGGACAAGUAUCUGUAACAUCGAAAGCAGUGAAAGUGAACGUGCUAGACCAACACUCGAAGAAAUGUUUGACCAUGAAAUGCAAGAGCCUUCUGUCGCAUGUAGCGAGCCACAGCCACAGCCCAGCAUCAAGAGCGGCCUCCCACAAAAAGAAGGAAAUGCACAACAGACGUCAUGGUGGAGGCCAGCAGGACACUGAAGGCUGUGGCUGAUUUGCCAAACUCUGCCUGUCCAAGAAGACCGCUACGGUACCCUUGGCA
Schistocerca gregaria is the source of this 509-nucleotide long non-coding RNA. RefSeq lists it as uncharacterized. The record is from RefSeq and is a predicted model, not a curated record. The transcript has 3 exons. NCBI's taxonomy places the organism in Eukaryota, Metazoa, Arthropoda, Insecta, Orthoptera, Acrididae.